RNAcentral lists this ribosomal RNA (613 nucleotides) under uncultured bacterium. Its description in RNAcentral is "bacterial SSU rRNA". It matches the Rfam family "Bacterial small subunit ribosomal RNA", at positions 287 to 892 of the family's 1533-position model. The record is from RNAcentral.
CUGGUCUGAGAGGACGACCAGCCACACCGGAACUGAGACACGGUCCGGACUCCUACGGGAGGCAGCAGUGGGGAAUAUUGGACAAUGGGGGAAACCCUGAUCCAGCGACGCCGCGUGUGUGAAGAAGGCCUGCGGGUUGUAAAGCACUUUUAGUGGGGACAAAAAGCUACGGAUUAAUACUCUGUGGUCUUGAUUUAACCCAAAGAAAAAGCACCGGCUAACUCUGUGCCAGCAGCCGCGGUAAUACAGAGGGUGCGAGCGUUAAUCGGAAUUACUGGGCGUAAAGCGCGCGUAGACGGUUUUGUAAGUCAGAUGUGAAAUCCCUGGGCUCAACCUGGGAACUGCAUUUGAGACUGCAUGGCUAGAGUAUCGAAGAGGGAAGUGGAAUUUCCGGUGUAGCGGUGAAAUGCGUAGAUAUCGGAAGGAACACCAGUGGCGAAAGCGACUUCCUGGUCGAAUACUGACGUUCAUGUGCGAAAGCGUGGGGAGCAAACAGGAUUAGAUACCCUGGUAGUCCACGCCAUAAACGAUGACAACUAGAUGUUGGGAGGGUCUGCCUCUCGGUGUCGCAGCUAACGCGUUAAGUUGUCCGCCUGGGGAGUACGGCCGCAAG